Molecule: ribosomal RNA, 460 nt
Filed under: uncultured bacterium
Lineage: Bacteria
Description: partial 16S ribosomal RNA
Rfam family: Bacterial small subunit ribosomal RNA
Source: RNAcentral
CCUACGGGUGGCAGCAGUGAGGAAUAGUGGUCAAUGGACGAGAGUCUGAACCAGCCAAGUAGCGUGAAGGAUGACUGCCCUAUGGGUUGUAAACUUCUUUUAUAUGGGAAUAAAACGUUCCACGUGUGGGAUUUUGUAUGUACCAUAUGAAUAAGGAUCGGCUAACUCCGUGCCAGCAGCCGCGGUAAUACGGAGGAUCCGAGCGUUAUCCGGAUUUAUUGGGUUUAAAGGGAGCGUAGGUGGAUUGUUAAGUCAGUUGUGAAAGUUUGCGGCUCAACCGUAAAAUUGCAGUUGAAACUGGCAGUCUUGAGUACAGUAGAGGUGGGCGGAAUUCGUGGUGUAGCGGUGAAAUGCUUAGAUAUCACGAAGAACUCCGAUUGCGAAGGCAGUUCACUGGACUGCAACUGACACUGAGGCUCGAAAGUGUGGGUAUCAAACAGGAUUAGAUACCCCAGUAGUC